UACAGAGGUCUCAAGCGUUGUUCGGAUUCAUUGGGCGUAAAGGGCGCGUAGGCGGCCUGCUAAGUCGGACGUGAAAUCCCCCGGCUCAACCGGGGAACUGCGUCCGAUACUGGUGGGCUCGAAUCCGGGAGAGGGAUGUGGAAUUCCAGGUGUAGCGGUGAAAUGCGUAGAUAUCUGGAGGAACACCGGUGGCGAAGGCGGCAUCCUGGACCGACACUGACGCUGAGGCGCGAAAGCUAGGGUAGCAAACGGG
RNAcentral lists this ribosomal RNA (253 nucleotides) under uncultured bacterium. Its description in RNAcentral is "partial 16S ribosomal RNA". It matches the Rfam family "Bacterial small subunit ribosomal RNA", at positions 524 to 776 of the family's 1533-position model. The record is from RNAcentral.